UUGUCAACAAUUCCCCCAUUUUACGUUUUACGUUUCAAAAGGAUUUAAAUAAUUACCGAUCUCUGUGGACACGACCCUGCUCAAUCACUAUACACAAUUUAUUUAGAGUAGGAAUUUAUUUUUGUUGGCUUCGACAACCAUCAAAUUUUGGCGCCGUUGCCGGGGAUUGGUGUCAUUUAUUUAAUCCUUUUUACGUUUUACUUGGUGUAUGGUUCGUUCUUCUCGUACAGGUACACUUUCGUUUGAUCCUGAAAUUGAGAAGACAGCUCGCCAGCUGAGACAGCAGACGAAGCGAGCUAAGCAACGAUCCUCGUCGCCUUUGCUUUCUGAAACAGAUACGGUGCCUGAUUUAGUUGAAUCAUCUAGCGAUUCAGAAGAACAAGUGAUGGAUAGACCUGCACCUGUAGAAAGAACUCUUAGAGAGUUAGCUGAACCAGACUUGAAUCAACAACCACUCUGCAUUCAAUAUGUAGACUUGGAGGUAAAUUUUGAAUUAAAGUCUGGUCUUAUUCAUUUAUUACCCAAGUUUCAUGGUUUUGCAGGUGAAGAUCCUCAUAAACAUCUUAAGGAGUUUCAUGUUGUGUGUUCAAGUAUGAGACCACAAGGUGUGACUGAAGAGCAGAUUAAGCUGCGUGCUUUUCCGUUCUCUGUAGAUGGGCUAGCUAAAGAUUGGUUGUACUACUUGCCUCCUGGAUCAAUUACAACGUGGAAUGGUUUGAAGAAGCAGUUCCUUGAGAAGUACUUUCCUGCUUCAAGAGCUGCCAACAUCAGAAAAGAUAUUUGUGGGAUCAGACAACUUCCUAGGGAGACUUUAUAUGAGUAUUGGGAGCGAUUCAAACAAUUGUGUGCCAGCUGUCCUCAGCAUCAAAUUUCUGAUCAACUUCUUAUUCAAUAUUUUUACGAAGGACUGUCAUUGAUGGAUAGGAGUAUGAUAGAUGCUGCUAGUGGAGGCGUGUUGGUGAACAAGACCCCUACUCAAGCAAGGGAGUUGAUAUCAAAUAUGGCUGCCAAUGCACAACAAUUUAGCAGCAGGCAAGAGCUCACUUCAAGGAAAGUGAAUGAGGUAAAUAUUUCUUCUGUUGAACAACGUUUAGAUAAACUUACUUCUCUUGUGGAAAAGUUUGUUGUAGGUAAUGUGCAGCAGGUGAAGACUUGUGGUAUUUGUUACAAUAUGGGUCAUUCAACUGAUAUGUGUCCUACACUUCAAGAAGAACCCGUUGAACAAGCCAAUGCAGUUGGAGGAUUUCCAGGCAUGCCUCAGAGGAGGUAUGAUCCUUAUGCACAAACAUACAAUCCGGGAUGGAAGGAUCAUCCCAACUUCAGCUAUGGAGUUAGGCAGUCAGGAUUCCCACAACAGUAUCCACCAAGACAACCAGCACCUCCACAGUCAAACUCCAAGUCAGGUAUAUCUCUCGAAGAAAUUGUUAAAUCACUUGCGACUAACACACAACAAUUUCAGCAGGCAACUACAGCAAGCAUUCAGAACUUGGAGAACCAAAUGAGUCAAUUGGCGACUACAGUGAGCCGUCUGGAGUCUCAAGUAUUAGGGAGAUUGCCUUCACAAUCUGAGGUGAAUCCAAAGCAAAACGUUAGUGCUGUCAUCCUUAGAAGUGGGAAAGAGUUGCAAGAGCCUAGUAAGAAAGUGACAAAGUAUGUAGAAGAUGAGCUUGAGAAGAAUGAAUUGAUGCCUCAAUCUCAAGAUGCGCAACCCACAAGAGCGAAACCCCUACCUAUUGUGAUACCUCCUCCUUUUCCAAGCCGGUUUGCAAAAUCCAAAAAGGAGGAACAAGAGAAAGACAUCCUUGAGACAUUUCGCAAGGUUGAGGUAAAUAUUCCUUUAUUAGAUGCUAUAAAACAAAUACCUCGAUAUGCUAAAGUCCUUAAGGAACUGUGCACCUCCAAGAGAAAAUUAAGAGGAGAUGAAAAAGUUCACAUGGGGGAGAAUGUUUCAGCAGUUCUCCAAAAGAAAUUACCUCCUAAGUGCGAGGAUCCAGGUAUGUUUACUAUCCCUUGUAAAAUUGGUAGUGUUAGAGUUGAAAAGGCUUUGUUAGAUCUAGGAGCUUCUAUUAAUGUCAUGCCUCGUUCCAUUUAUUCAUCUUUGAAUAUUGGUCCAUUAAAAGAAACUGGUGUGAUAAUUCAACUAGCUGACAGGUCUAAUGCAUAUCCUGAUGGGGUAUUAGAAGAUGUCUUAGUACAAGUUAAUGAGUUGGUUUUUCCUGCUGAUUUUUAUGUACUUGAUAUGGAAGAUGAUAACUCCUCUAAUUCUGUCCCAAUUUUGCUAGGAAGACCUUUUCUUAAGACUGCUAGGACUAAAAUGGAUAUACAUAAAGGGACUCUCACUAUGGAGUUUGAUGGAGAGGUUAUAGAAUUCAAUAUGAAUGAUGCCAUGAAAUAUCCUAGUGAGGAACAUUCGGUAUUUUCUGUGGAUGUUAUUAACCCUAUAGCGCAGGAAAUUUUUUACAAGGAAAAGACGAAGACAUUUCAUGAUAGAAUGAUUUUGAGAAAGGAGUUCUCUGCUGGUCAAAAAGUUCUUCUUUUUCAUUCUAAACGUAAACUUUUUCCGGGUAAAUUACGUUCUUGUUGGGUUGGACCUUUUAUUGUUACUAAUGUUUUUCCUCAUGGUGCAGUUGAGAUUCGGAGCCCGACCUCUGACAGAGUUCUUAAGGUUAAUGGUCAUCGCUUAAAACCUUUUUAUGAAGGUUUUUCGGUGAAUAUUGUGGAGGAUGUGGCUCUCGAAAGUCCAAAUUAUGGAGAUUGAUGCAUAAAUGUGUCUAGCCAAAGACAUAAAACAAAGGCGCUUUUUGGGAGGCAACCCAAGUGAUUUAUUUAUUUUGGUUUUUGUUAUAUCUUCUUUUAAUUUUGAUUCAAAUUUUUUUUAAAUAAUGUGUUUGCUUAUUUUGGUCAGAAGAAAAUUUUUGAUAAGGCGUGCCCACGUCUUAACUAAUAAGUACUUCUGUAAUUUUUAAAGUAAAAUAGUUUUAAGGCGUGCCCACGUGCUUAUUAGAAAAGUACUUCUGAAAUUUUUAGUGUCUCAAAGUGAUUCAUCACUAAAAAAAUAAUAAUAAUAAUAAUAAAUUAAUUUUAAUUGAUUUUAUUUCAUUUUAUUUUAUUUAUUUAUUUCUUUUGUUCUUUCUUUUAUAUAUAUAUAUUUUUUUUUAUUUAAAAAAAAUCAAAAAAAAAAUCAUUGUUAAAAAAAAAAAAAAAUUUUACUGUUCACAAAAUCCCUAAUUUUCCAGAAAUUGUUUUCUUCUCCAGCCGUUUGCAGCACGCCAGCAGCAAACCAGCCAGCCGGAGAAUGCAGCAUCAGUCGCGCGCAACGCAGCCACGCAGACAGCAUCCUGCACGCAACCAGCAGUGCGCAACCAGCCCCAAGCCGCGCAGCAAGCUCCAGCCGAGCACGCAACGCAACAAGCGUCACCAGCGCGCGCACCAGCAAUCCCCCAGCGCGCAGCAACAGCCGCAGCACGCAGAUCCAGCGUCACCAGUUCGCAGCAUCAGUCCCAUCCGCGCGCAACUGAACCACCAGCCGUGUACCCGCAAGCUCCAGUCGAGCAGCAAUAGUCCGCAACCAGCCUACGACCUGUAUUCCAGCCGCGUGAAUCGAAAUCCGUGACAAGAUGGAGCAGAAUUUGGCCGCAUACUUCAAGAGUGUGGGAUUUAUCCCACCAUUCCCGCCAAGCCCAUAGACGUUAUGAGGAUCAAAGCUCACAAUUCAGGGAAGUUUUUGCCUUUAAUCUUUUAUCCUUACGCUUUAAUUUUUAUGUGAGCUUUGAUUAUCUUACAUUGGGGACAAUGUAAGUUAUUGGUGUGGGGGAGGGAUUUUUGCAUUAUUGAUGCCUGGAAUUAUUAUUUUCACUCUACUCAUCUAUUUUCAUUAUACUCAUCCUUAAAUGAUUUUGGAGUUAGUAUGCUUCAUAUAUUAUUAUUUUUCUUUUCUUUUCUUUCUCAUUACUUUUUUCCCAUCUAUCUCAAAUUAUUUACAUCUAUUUUUAUUCUAUCAUACUCUCUCAUCACUCACAUUUUAUCUUUCACUUUUCAUAUUACUACAUACAUCUUUCUCACUUCUUAUCAUUUUUACCUUUCCUUCACUCAUACCUUCUUCCCAUUCUACACCACUAUUGAUGGUUGAUUCAUUUGAAGAGUGUACAUGAUUUGAUGGCAAAUUUACCAACUUUGUGAGGAUUUGAGCCUAUGAGCAACCACUUUGCUCUAAUUAUUUUUAUUAUGUGAAUAUCAAUCUUAGUUUGUUUAUUCUAGAACUUACUUUGUUAUGCAUGUUGAAGCCACAUUACGGGAUUUUUUUCAUUAAAAUGAUAAGGGCAAACCAUUUACCAUUUUUCUAUUCUUGCAUUUUCUUUUUUUUUCUCUACCCGAAGACCUUGAUUUACUAUCUUUGUUUGAGCCUUAACCAUUACCCAUCUAAUUCUCUCCGUCUACUUAACCAUUUUUCUUCUUUUUGAGCCUCAAUUUAAGGAGAUUUUUGGACUCAUUGUGUGGAUAUAUUUUGUUGCUUUUUCUACCUUGUAAUAAAGUUUCUCAAUUAGAUCAACAAGCAUUAUGCUUGAAUUAAAUUGUGCAAGGUUCGUUUCUUUUGUUUGAUUCAAAAAAAAAACAACAAAAAAAAAACAAAAAAAAAGAAAAAAAAAGAAAAAAGAAAAAAAAAAGAAAAAAGAAAAUUUGAAAAAAAAAUCGAAAUAAAAAAUGUUUACAUUCUUGGUGACUUGAGUAGAAAUAAGCAUUUUGAUAUCAUAAGUUCAUUCAAUGAGUUCAUUCUUCUCGUUUUGAUCUCUUUUUCUUUCGUAAACCUUUCUUUUUCAUUUAACACAUUUAACCCCAUUACAACCCUUUUAAGACCCUUAGAUUUUUGCAUUUUAUUCAUGUUUUGUGGAUUGAGAUGUGAUAUAUGAGCAAGCUUAUGGUAAUAGCAUUCUUUGAUUUGAUUUGAGUGGAUAAAUGACACCCUAAACACUUUGAGUGCAUGGAGUGAAGUUAUUGAGAGGGCUAUUACAUCUUGUUGCACUUGAAUUUUGAACGAAUCUUCUUGGUGGUUGAAUGUUCUUAUUCUAUCUUAUGAAAUUCUAUGCUUUAAAAUCCUUGUCUCUCGAACGUUGAACGACUUAAUUUCUUGAGGUAUGCUUGCUUAAAAUUAUUUUUGGAUGAGUUGAGAUGAGAAUUUAGUGGAGAUUUGAGAUUAGUCUUGAGUUAUAUGCUUGAGGACAAGCAUCAUCUUGGUGUGGGGGAAUUUGUUAGAGUGCAAUUUAUGCACUAGUUUUGCAUUAUUUACUUCCCUUAAUAUCAAUGUUUUGCACUUAAUAAUAGUGAUUUACUUAUGUUUUACUUUUGUAGGUGCAAUUCUAUUGAUUGAUGAUAAAAUUGAGCUAUAAGAUGAUGUUUAAGGAUGAUUGUUCUCUUGGAGAAAUUAUGAGCGUCAGAAGAACUUUGUUGAUAAGGCGUGGGCGCGUGCUGUCAACUGCGGACCUGUAGUUUUUAGUUUAACGUGUUUUGUAUUUUUGGUUAUUUUUGUAAUUACGAAUUUAAUAUUUCAGAUAUUAGUAUUUUAUUUUAAAUAGAAUUCUAAAAGAGAGGAGAGAGAGAGUAUUUAAGGGAGGAAUCUAUUGUGAAAAGGGGGGAUUUUUGGAUUGGAGAAAAAGAAAGAAACCCUAGAUCUAAUUUUUCUCUUCUCUCUAUGAAGAACUAAACCUAUUUUUCUGGUUGAAGGAUAACGAAGCUUUGAUUCAUCACUACUGUGAGAUCUUUCUUGUGCUUUAAUUGUUUUAUUGCUUUUUGGAUAUUUGUUUAUUCUCUGUAUUAUUUUCAUGAUUAUGUUUGUUAAUUAGGUAAUUGGCCACUAUUUAAUUAUCAACUCAAUCUAUUGUCAAUUAAAGGAUUCAUCGUAUGAAGAAUUUAAUGUUUGUGACAAAUAACAUAGCAGAGAGUUGUGUUGUGAGAAUAAACAAUCUAAUUUAAAUGAAUCAUCAUAUGUGUUGAUUAGGAUUUGGGUCUCUCUGGUUUUUCAGGCUGUCAAUUGAUUAAAUUCUAUGAUCGUAUCUAGGGUUGUCUAUUGAUUAGGGAAAUAACCAACGGUCGUACCUUAGUUAUCGACUAGUUAAGGAGAGAUUGGCUAUUAGAGGGUCUCAGUAGCUAUAACCGGUCUAUUCAUAAGUAAUAAUAAUAAUCUAUAUUUGAAUCAAUGAUCAGUAGUCGAAUCAAGCUGAGUUAAUUCCUUCAACCAGAGCUUUCUCCAAUUUGAAUUACAACUUUAAUUUGCAUUCUUGUUAUUUUAAUUUGAUUUUUAUUAUUGUCAACAAUUCCCCCAUUUUACGUUUUACGUUUCAAAAGGAUUUAAAUAAUUACCGAUCUCUGUGGACACGACCCUGCUCAAUCACUAUACACAAUUUAUUUAGAGUAGGAAUUUAUUUUUGUUGGCUUCGACAACCAUCAAAUUUUGGCGCCGUUGCCGGGGAUUGGUGUCAUUUAUUUAAUCCUUUUUACGUUUUACUUGGUGUAUGGUUCGUUCUUCUCGUACAGGUACACUUUCGUUUGAUCCUGAAAUCGAGAAGACAGCUCGCCAGCUGAGACAGCAGACGAAGCGAGCUAAGCAACGAUCCUCGUCGCCUUUGCUUUCUGAAACAGAUACGGUGCCUGAUUUAGUUGAAUCAUCUAGCGAUUCAGAAGAACAGGUGAUGGAUAGACCUGCACCUGUAGAAAGAACUCUUAGAGAGUUAGCUGAACCAGACUUGAAUCAACAACCACUCUGCAUUCAAUAUGUAGACUUGGAGGUAAAUUUUGAAUUAAAG
RNAcentral lists this long non-coding RNA (6797 nucleotides) under Citrus x clementina. RNAcentral's name for it is "Citrus clementina (C. clementina) long non-coding RNA (CCLE_LNC005222)". The record is from RNAcentral. Lineage: Eukaryota; Viridiplantae; Streptophyta; Magnoliopsida; Sapindales; Rutaceae.